AUGGGUGCCACUGUGACCUGGAGAAAUUACAUAAAUCUUUAUAGUUCUAGGUCUAUGGGAGACAACUCCUGAUCAAUUUUAUUUCCUAUAUAUAUAUAUAUCUAUAAAUAUUUUUUCUUCUAUUUUUUUUUUCUUUUUCAAACAACAAUAUUUUCUAUAAUUUUCUUUCGUUCUUCAAAAAGGGAGUGCAAUAAAUUAGAUAAGUUUGAAGUAACAAACAAAUCUUCAG
This 229-nucleotide long non-coding RNA is filed under the name Mytilus galloprovincialis (Mediterranean mussel). Lineage: Eukaryota; Metazoa; Mollusca; Bivalvia; Mytilida; Mytilidae. The record is from RNAcentral.